CAAGGGGACAGAAGAAGGAAGUCUCCGGUCUGCUUUGGUGGAGCUCCAAUUUUCACCAUCACCUUUGGACAUCAGUCUCCAGGCUCCCAGCACAGACCCACCUAUUUCCUGCUUGAGACUCACAGAGUCUCUGUGGUGAGCUCCAGGCCUCUGACUUUUGACUGAUCCUUGGUUCUGCAGCAUAUAGAUGGCCCUUUUGGAUUCCUCCACGCCCGAUUUUGCAGGCAGCCACUGUUCUCUCAUCCUCUGUCCAUACGUAAACAAGUCAAGUAUUCUCAGAAUAUUUUUUGCUCCACGUGGAGUGAAUUGGUGGAGGUGAAGAGGAGCUGCCAUCCAUAGAGAAGUCCACUGACUAUGAUUCCUGAAGGGAAGGACCAGAGUUUGCUUACGUCUCUGUUGCCUAACCCACAGGCACUCUCAAUGGACUUUUCUGGGGGGAAAAAUGAGAAAUACCUCUGAGGUGUGAACUGGAGCCAGCAAUCAGGUAAGGCAAAUUGUGGGAAAGUCUAGGUCUGAAGGCUGUGCCACACCUGGCAGUGAUGACACCUGUUCCGCAGUGGACUGAGCAGCCAGGACACUGCAGACCCCGAGGGUACACAUGGCACUGUUCUGCCAUGGCAGCUCUCCAAGCUGACCCUGAACUUGCCCUCCCUGUAACUCUUGGGGAGAAAAAAUGUUUUGAAAUCAACUAAUAGCUUAUGAGGUCUCAAAAUUGCAAAAGAAGGGAGAUUCUUCCAAACCAUCUUGCGUGGCCACAAUGGAUUUCUGAGCCUGACGAUACCGCCAGAGGAGAGGAAAGUCUGCCAGGGCCUGACGUUUCUACACAGUGAGGCUAGAACAAUAAACAGUGUGCUCAGCAGGCAGAAAGAUGGCCUGGAUUUGGGUUUCUCGUGUUUCCAUCCAAAUGCUGUCCUGCAAGCCCCAGCUCACAGUCUGUUUGUCUGCUGUGAGCCCUGGAGCUGGCCCUGACCUCUGGGAGUCAUGCAGAGAUUCCUGGGCCUGACAACAAGGUGACAGUAAAUAUCUCUGUGGCAUAGAGAACAGUGAAACACAAUGUGAGCCAGAAACUGCUUUGAACCAAUUGGAAUGAAGCCAGGGAUGUGAGGCGGGCAGCCGAGCACUGGAAGAGAGAAUGUGUAUGUUUGAGCUCACAGCGCUGGACAGAGAUUUGGUCCAGGCCCAUUUUAGCAGCCACUUUCAAGCUUUGUCUGUAUGCUGCCUUCUCUG
Molecule: long non-coding RNA, 1227 nt
Organism: Cavia porcellus (domestic guinea pig)
Lineage: Eukaryota; Metazoa; Chordata; Mammalia; Rodentia; Caviidae
Exons: 3
Source: RefSeq, a predicted model, not a curated record